UUGAAAAAAAAUCGUUUUUAAUCAAAUUCUCCGAAAAAAUCGCUGGACUACGAUAAAAAAAUGUCACCCUAUAUGGUUUUAUGGUAAAAUAUAAACAUUUUUAGCAAGGCCGGGUCGGAAAAUAUCGAGGCACUGUACAGUCAAUUUUACGGAACUUCGAUUUUCUGAUUUGACCUUCCUCUUCCCUUUUUUGUUUUUUCAAAUUCUAAGUAAAUUUUUUCAAUUUAUCUUAUUCCAUUAAUUUUAAUUUAUAUUUUUCUAAAUAAUCAUGUGAAAUUAUGAGCCAUGAUUGAGAAGGCAACGCGAUGCUCUUAAAAACACUGCAGUGCUCUGUACACUAGCACAGCUUGCACUGCCUUCACGCCUUGGCUAUGAAGAUAACACUGCUCUAGGUAAGGUAGGAUAGAAAUGUAGAAUGUACAGACUAAUUAGGUUUAUAUACUGAAUGCAAAGAUAAAUCAUUUAAAAGGAUAAAUGAUUCUGAGUAGCAUUAGUAGAGAUUUUACUACGUAUCCAGUAUGUUCCAGAAAUUAACAAAAUUAAAAACAAUGUAUCUUCAUUUAUUGUAGUUUUUAAAUUUAAAGAAAAAACGUUGAUAAUUUAAUUAAUUUUUCAAUUAAACAGAAUGAAGAAUCCGUAUCUUUUAAGGCACGAUUCCAAAAAUGUACAGCCUCUUACUAACCAAAAAAGUAUUAUUUUAACGAAAAAAAAAAAAACCAAAAUAAAUUAGAAAACUUGGCAAAAUGUUCCAGAUAAAGAAGGAGAUUAUGAAUAAAACAAUAAAAAUAGUUUGCUCGUGAUUACUAGUCGGCGAUGGUCAUUGGGUAUUAUUUCGUAAUCCCAAACACAAUAUUGUAUAGCCACAGUAAAAAUUUGUCAUAAAAUGCCAUAAUAUAAAACAACGUAUUAUUAAAUAAUAUUUCUGGAUUUUCAAUAAGAUAAUACCUAUUCUUACCUAUUGGUAUUUCUCCAAAAUCGUAAGUUAACCUAAUCAUUUAAUGUGUUAAAAAGGCACAUUAUGAUAGGGCGCAUUUGGAUGCAUUUGUCCGGUUACUUGAUAGAGAAGUAUACGGGUCUUAAUACCGUGUUUUAAAAUAAAACCACUUAUUCUAUAUCCGAUAAAAUUGUAUUUUAUGAAAUAAUUAUAUAGCUAUAGAAUAAUUGUCACCUAUAUAAUUCGGUGUAAUAUUUUAAAACACUAUUUUCUACAACCAACAUUAAUGUACAUUGUAACUACUUCAGAUCAGAAACAAAAGCUUUUUUUUCAAUGUUUAAUUGAUCACACGUCAUACCGAAAUAUUCCACAACAAUUCUUAUAAUCUACGAUUCGAAGAACAAAAGUCUGUACAAGUAAAAUGUAAAAUUAUUGUAAUAAUCCUUAAGUUUCGUUUUGAAAUUUUCGUUCAAAUUCCACGACUCUACAGGACUAUAUACAUUUUAAAGUCGGAUAAUAAUCAUU
This is a non-coding RNA of Cinara cedri, 1459 nucleotides long. The record is from the annotation of a GenBank genome assembly. NCBI's taxonomy places the organism in Eukaryota, Metazoa, Arthropoda, Insecta, Hemiptera, Aphididae.